AUUGAACGCUGGCGGCAUGCUUUACACAUGCAAGUCGAACGGCAGCACGAAAGAGCUUGCUCUUUUGGUGGCGAGUGGCGCACGGGUGAGUAAUGCAUCGGAACGUACCGAGUAAUGGGGGAUAACUGUCCGAAAGGAUAGCUAAUACCGCAUACGCUUUGAGAAGGAAAGUGGGGGCUCUUCGGACCUCACGUUAUUCGAGCGGCCGAUGUCUGAUUAGCUAGUUGGUGGGGUAAAGGCCUACCAAGGCGACGAUCAGUAGCGGGUCUGAGAGGAUGAUCCGCCACACUGGGACUGAGACACGGCCCAGACUCCUACGGGAGGCAGCAGUGGGGAAUUUUGGACAAUGGGCGCAAGCCCGAUCCAGCCAUGCCGCGUGUCUGAAGAAGGCCUUCGGGUUGUAAAGGACUUUUGUUAGGGAAGAAAAGGAUAGUGUUAAUACCAUUAUCUGCUGACGGUACCUAAAGAAUAAGCACCGGCUAACUACGUG
Molecule: ribosomal RNA, 490 nt
Filed under: uncultured bacterium
Lineage: Bacteria
Description: partial 16S ribosomal RNA
Rfam family: Bacterial small subunit ribosomal RNA
Source: RNAcentral